Molecule: ribosomal RNA, 1254 nt
Filed under: metagenome
Description: bacterial LSU rRNA
Rfam family: Bacterial large subunit ribosomal RNA
Source: RNAcentral
UACACGACCGUACCGCAAACCGACACUGGUGCGCGAGAUGAGUAUUCUAAGGCGCUUGAGAGAACUCAGGAGAAGGAACUCGGCAAAUUGACACCGUAACUUCGGAAGAAGGUGUGCCUUUAGUAGGUGAACCAUUUACUUGGGGAGCCCAAUGAGGCUGCAAAAAAUCGGUGGCUGCAACUGUUUAUUAAAAACACAGCACUCUGCUGAGACGAAAGUCGACGUAUAGGGUGUGACGCCUGCCCGGUGCUGGAAGAUUAAAUGAUGGGGUGCAAGCUCUUGAUUGAAGUCCCAGUAAACGGCGGCCGUAACAAUAACGGUCCUAAGGUAGCGAAAUUCCUUGUCGGGUAAGUUCCGACCUGCACGAAUGGCGUAAUGAUGGCCACACUGUCUCCUCCUGAGACUCAGCGAAGUUGAAAUGUUUGUGAUGAUGCAAUCUCCCCGCGGAAAGACGGAAAGACCCCAUGAACCUUUACUGUAGCUUUGUAUUGGACUUUGAACAGAUCUGUGUAGGAUAGGUGGGAGGCUUUGAAGUGUGGUCGCUAGAUCGCAUGGAGCCAACGUUGAAAUACCACCCUGGUGUGUUUGAGGUUCUAACCUAGGUCCAUUAUCUGGAUCGGGGACAGUGCAUGGUAGGCAGUUUGACUGGGGCGGUCUCCUCCCAAAGUGUAACGGAGGAGUUCGAAGGUACGCUAGGUACGGUCGGACAUCGUGCUAAUAGUGCAAUGGCAUAAGCGUGCUUAACUGCGAGACUGACAAGUCGAGCAGAUGCGAAAGCAGGACAUAGUGAUCCGGUGGUUCUGUAUGGAAGGGCCAUCGCUCAACGGAUAAAAGGUACUCUGGGGAUAACAGGCUGAUACCGCCCAAGAGUUCAUAUCGACGGUGGUGUUUGGCACCUCGAUGUCGGCUCAUCUCAUCCUGGGGCUGUAGCCGGUCCCAAGGGUAUGGCUGUUCGCCAAUUAAAGAGGUACGUGAGCUGGGUUUAAAACGUCGUGAGACAGUUUGGUCCCUAUCUUCCGUGGGCGCUGCAGAUUUGAGGAAGCCUGCUCCUAGUACGAGAGGACCGGAGUGGACGAACCUCUGGUGUAUCGGUUGUCACGCCAGUGGCAUUGCCGAGUAGCUAAGUUCGGAAGAGAUAACCGCUGAAAGCAUCUAAGCGGGAAACUCGUUUCAAGAUUAGAUCUGCCGGGGCCUUGAGCCCCCUAAAGAGUCGUUCAAGACCAGGACGUUGAUAGGUCAGGUGUGGAAGCCGAA